UCCGUGAUGUAAACUCAGGUCUGCUGG
Molecule: non-coding RNA, 27 nt
Filed under: Bombyx mori (domestic silkworm)
Lineage: Eukaryota; Metazoa; Arthropoda; Insecta; Lepidoptera; Bombycidae
Source: RNAcentral